This 468-nucleotide ribosomal RNA is filed under the name Selenomonas sp. oral taxon 140. Its description in RNAcentral is "bacterial SSU rRNA". It matches the Rfam family "Bacterial small subunit ribosomal RNA", at positions 28 to 473 of the family's 1533-position model. The record is from RNAcentral. Lineage: Bacteria; Bacillati; Bacillota; Negativicutes; Selenomonadales; Selenomonadaceae.
GACGAACGCUGGCGGCGUGCUUAACACAUGCAAGUCGAACGGAGCGAAUGAAAGCUUGCUUUUAUAAGCUUAGUGGCAAACGGGUGAGUAACACGUAGACAACCUGCCGACAGGAUGGGGACAACAUUCCGAAAGGAAUGCUAAUACCGAAUGAAGUCAGAGAAGGGCAUCCUUUUCUGAUGAAAGAUGGCCUCUAUAUAUAAGCUAUCACCUGUUGAUGGGUCUGCGUCUGAUUAGCUGGUAGGUGAGGUAACGGCUCACCUAGGCGACGAUCAGUAGCCGGUCUGAGAGGAUGAACGGCCACAUUGGGACUGAGACACGGCCCAGACUCCUACGGGAGGCAGCAGUGGGGAAUCUUCCGCAAUGGGCGCAAGCCUGACGGAGCAACGCCGCGUGAGUGAAGAAGGUCUUCGGAUCGUAAAGCUCUGUUGAUGGGGACGAACGUGCCUAAUGCGAAUAGUAUUAGGU